UAGGGUUGGCUGAAGAAAAUGCUAAAAGUGGCCAAUUUGAUUGGAAAAAGUAUGAGAAUUCAAAUUAGAAAUGUGACAAAUGCCAAUUUUUCUGAAACAUUUUACCCAUAAUUUAUUGAGUAAAUAGUUUAUUUUUCUAAAAACAACAUAUAUUACUGGUAAGUUAUAGUGUAAAAUGCCUAUAUAUCUGAUAACGCAACACCUUAC
Molecule: long non-coding RNA, 207 nt
Filed under: Prunus persica (peach)
Lineage: Eukaryota; Viridiplantae; Streptophyta; Magnoliopsida; Rosales; Rosaceae
Description: long non-coding RNA (PPER_LNC001707)
Source: RNAcentral